Molecule: ribosomal RNA, 487 nt
Filed under: uncultured bacterium
Lineage: Bacteria
Description: partial 16S ribosomal RNA
Rfam family: Bacterial small subunit ribosomal RNA
Source: RNAcentral
UGGGGAAUAUUGGACAAUGGGGGCAACCCUGAUCCAGCCAUGCCGCGUGAGUGAUGAAGGCCCUUCGGGUUGUAAAGCUCUUUUGGCGGGGACGAUGAUGACGGUACCCGCAGAAUAAGCCCCGGCUAACUUCGUGCCAGCAGCCGCGGUAAGACGAAGGGGGCUAGCGUUGUUCGGAAUUACUGGGCGUAAAGCGAGUGUAGGCGGUUGCCGUAGUCAGGUGUGAAAGCCUUGAGCUCAACUCAAGAAAUGCACUUGAUACUGGGUGACUAGAGGACCGGAGAGGAUAGUGGAAUUCCCAGUGUAGUGGUGAAAUACGUAGAGAUUGGGAAGAACACCAGUGGCGAAGGCGGCUAUCUGGACGGUUACUGACGCUAAGACUCGAAAGCGUGGGGAGCAAACAGGAUUAGAUACCCUGGUAGUCCACGCCGUAAACGAUGGGUGCUAGACGUUGGCGAGCUUGCUCGUCAGUGUCGCAGCUAACGCG